This 450-nucleotide ribosomal RNA is filed under the name uncultured Devosia sp. RNAcentral describes it as "bacterial SSU rRNA". It matches the Rfam family "Bacterial small subunit ribosomal RNA", at positions 9 to 507 of the family's 1533-position model. Lineage: Bacteria; Pseudomonadati; Pseudomonadota; Alphaproteobacteria; Hyphomicrobiales; Devosiaceae. The record is from RNAcentral.
GAGUUUGAUCCUGGCUCAGAACGAACGCUGGCGGCAGGCUUAACACAUGCAAGUCGAACGCCCCGCAAGGGGAGUGGCAGACGGGUGAGUAACGCGUGGGAAUCUACCUAGUUCUACGGAACAACAGUUGGAAACGACUGCUAAUACCGUAUACGCCCUACGGGGGAAAGAUUUAUCGGAAUUAGAUGAGCCCGCGUAAGAUUAGCUAGUUGGUGGGGUAAUGGCCUACCAAGGCGACGAUCUUUAGCUGGUCUGAGAGGAUGAUCAGCCACACUGGGACUGAGACACGGCCCAGACUCCUACGGGAGGCAGCAGUGGGGAAUAUUGGACAAUGGGCGCAAGCCUGAUCCAGCCAUGCCGCGUGAGUGAUGAAGGCCUUAGGGUUGUAAAGCUCUUUCACCGAUGAAGAUAAUGACGGUAGUCGGAGAAGAAGCCCCGGCUAACUUCGUG